UACAGAGGGUGCAAGCGUUGUUCGGAAUUAUUGGGCGUAAAGCGCGUGUAGGCGGCUUUGCAAGUCGGGUGUGAAAGCCCUCAGCUCAACUGAGGAAGUGCGCCCGAAACUGCAGAGCUUGAGUGCCGGAGAGGGUGGCGGAAUUCCCCAAGUAGAGGUGAAAUUCGUAGAUAUUGGGAGGAACACCAGUGGCGAAGGCGGCUCACUGGACCGGAACUGGACGCUGAGGCGCGAAAGCGUGGGGAGCAACAGG
RNAcentral lists this ribosomal RNA (253 nucleotides) under uncultured bacterium. RNAcentral describes it as "partial 16S ribosomal RNA". It matches the Rfam family "Bacterial small subunit ribosomal RNA", at positions 524 to 775 of the family's 1533-position model. The record is from RNAcentral.